GCUGGUAUCUGCACAGCACAUCACUGAACAUACUUUUAUUAAUUUUUAGGAGAGUCUUAAAUGUGGAGUUUGCUUAAUGAACUGGAAUAAUUCGGAAAGCAGAUAAUGAGGAAAUGAAUCUCUUUCGGUCUACAAAGUAGGAUGAUUGUCUGGCCAAUGCUGCAUAAAUUGCUACCUCAAAUGAUGAAUUGCUACACCUGCCACCAACAUAAGAAACACAGAGUAACUGCUGACGAAGGAGAUGAAGUGUUGGUAAACCCACUUUCCCUCAGAAGAAGGGUCAUAAAGGGUUGAUUGACUCUCCAGAAGGAAGGAAUGCUUCUAAAAAUCUUUUUGAAAAAUUGAAAUAAAAGCAGAAGCUGUUUCAGAAUCUUACACCUCAGAAUGCAUCCUUCAUCCUGAACGCUACAAAAAGGUGCUGGCCCCAGGGCUCUCAAGCAAGAGCAGAGGCACGUUUGCCAAGCAGUGCCUCAGAGAGAUGAGGGAAAGGUCUGCUUAGGACUGUAUCACUUUUUUGUCCACCCUCCUCAUCUCACCUGUGUCCUACCUACUAAACUACUGAAAUUGGUCAGUCACAAGUGGAUUGGCUCUAAAAAAUUCCUAUCUGGUUGCAGUCACAAAGAUGGACACUUAUAUUCAAUAUGUGUUGUAUUUUGUGAGAGGAAAAGGAAGAUCUAUGUCCCCUGCAUACUUGAGCUAAGCCUGGAAAAAAGACAUUGAAAAAAAAUAUAGAUCUGCAGUGUCACUUCUUAAGUCAGACAAAGGAUGUGAUAUAAUAAAUACUUGUGCUCAUCCUCUUUCA
Molecule: long non-coding RNA, 802 nt
Filed under: Anas platyrhynchos platyrhynchos (common mallard)
Lineage: Eukaryota; Metazoa; Chordata; Aves; Anseriformes; Anatidae
Description: lncRNA (ENSAPLG00000027926.1)
Source: RNAcentral